UACGAAGGGGGCUAGCGUUGCUCGGAAUCACUGGGCGUAAAGGGUGCGUAGGCGGGUCUUUAAGUCAGGGGUGAAAUCCUGGAGCUCAACUCCAGAACUGCCUUUGAUACUGAGGAUCUUGAGUUCGGGAGAGGUGAGUGGAACUGCGAGUGUAGAGGUGAAAUUCGUAGAUAUUCGCAAGAACACCAGUGGCGAAGGCGGCUCACUGGCCCGAUACUGACGCUGAGGCACGAAAGCGUUGGGGAGCAAACAGG
RNAcentral lists this ribosomal RNA (254 nucleotides) under uncultured bacterium. RNAcentral's name for it is "partial 16S ribosomal RNA". It matches the Rfam family "Bacterial small subunit ribosomal RNA", at positions 524 to 776 of the family's 1533-position model. The record is from RNAcentral.